Molecule: non-coding RNA, 102 nt
Organism: Acanthosepion pharaonis
Lineage: Eukaryota; Metazoa; Mollusca; Cephalopoda; Sepiida; Sepiidae
Source: the annotation of a GenBank genome assembly
CGGCCGUAUGACGAUGAAACAGCAGUUCUCGUACGAUCACCGAAAUUAAGCAACGUCGAGCCUGGUCACUACCUAGAUGAGUGACCGCUUGGGAAUACCAGG